AAAUGCGUAGAUAUUGAGAGGAACACCAGUUGCGAAGGCGGAUCUCUGGACGGUUCCUGACGCUGAGGCACGAAAGCUGGGGUAGCGAAGAGGAUUAGAUACCCUCGUAGUCCCAGCCGUAAACGGUGCACACUUGCUGUGGGCGGAUUCGACCCCGUCCGUGGCGAAGCUAACGCGAUAAGUGCGCCGCCUGGGGAGUACGGGCGCAAGAUUAAAACUCAAAGAAAUUGACGGGGGCCUGCACAAGCGGUGGAGUAUGUGGCUUAAUUCGAUGCAACGCGAAGAACCUUACCUGGCCUUGACAUGUAGUGGACCGGGUGCGAAAUCACCCUUUCCUUCGGGACUGCUACACAGGUGCUGCAUGGCUGUCGUCAGCUCGUGUCGUGAGAUGUUGGGUUAAGUCCCGCAACGAGCGCAACCCCCGUGUUCUGUUGCCACCCGGAUGAGAAUCCGGAGCACUCUGGACAGACUGCCUGGUUUCAACCAGGAGGAAGGUGGGGAUGACGUCAAGUCAGUAUGGCCCUUACGGCCAGGGCUGCACACGUACUACAAUGCCUGAUAUAAUGGGAAGCAAGACCGCGAGGUGGAGCAAAUCCUCAAAAUCAGGCCCAGUUCAGAUUGUAGGCUGCAACUCGCCUACAUGAAGGAGGAAUCGCUAGUAAUGCCGUAUCAGCUACGACGGCGUGAAUACGUUCCCAGGCCUUGUACACACCGCCCGUCACAUCAUGAAAGUCGAUUGUACCCGAAGUCGCCGCGUUAACCGCAAGGAGACAGGUGCCGAAGGUAUGGUUGGUAAUUGGGAUGAAGUCGUAACAAGGUAGCCGUAGGGGAACCUGUGGCUG
This 842-nucleotide ribosomal RNA is filed under the name marine metagenome. RNAcentral describes it as "bacterial SSU rRNA". It matches the Rfam family "Bacterial small subunit ribosomal RNA", at positions 684 to 1520 of the family's 1533-position model. The record is from RNAcentral.